AGGAACUGAAAAAUCUCACUAAAUUCAGAUGACAAAAGGAAGAGGGAGAGUGGAGCCAGGAUGCCACAAGCAAAAUUACUCGACUAGACUCCUUGCCAACUGCCUGUAUAACUGGUCUACUCUGAGAAUGGGACCAUGCUUUCCAUAUAAAGAGGAGGAUCUUGGAGUGUGGUCCAGGGACCAUGGGGAGCCCCAAGACUCCUAGGAGAAACCCCAAAACCCAAGGUAAAAGGAUUUCUUUUGCAAAAGACCUCAAGGAAGAGGAGACAAUGGCAACUAACUUCUGAAAGCUG
Molecule: long non-coding RNA, 293 nt
Organism: Mirounga angustirostris (Northern elephant seal)
Lineage: Eukaryota; Metazoa; Chordata; Mammalia; Carnivora; Phocidae
Exons: 3
Source: RefSeq, a predicted model, not a curated record